GAUGAACGCUGGCGGCGUGCCUAAUACAUGCAAGUCGAGCGAACAGACGAGGAGCUUGCUCCUCUGACGUUAGCGGCGGACGGGUGAGUAACACGUGGAUAACCUACCUAUAAGACUGGGAUAACUUCGGGAAACCGGAGCUAAUACCGGAUAAUAUAUUGAACCGCAUGGUUCAAUAGUGAAAGACGGUUUUGCUGUCACUUAUUGAUGGAUCCGCGCCGCAUUAGCUAGUUGGUAAGGUAACGGCUUACCAAGGCAACGAUGCGUAGCCGAUCUGAGAGGGUGAUCGGCCACACUGGAACUGAGACACGGUCCAGACUCCUACGGGAGGCAGCAGUAGGGAAUCUUCCGCAAUGGGCGAAAGCUUGACGGAGCAACGCCGCGUGAGUGAUGAAGGUCUUCGGAUCGUAAAACUCUGUUAUUAGGGAAGAACACAUGUGUAAGUAACUAUGCACGUCUUGACGGUACCUAAUCAGAAAGCCACGGCUAACUACGUG
This 497-nucleotide ribosomal RNA is filed under the name uncultured bacterium. Its description in RNAcentral is "partial 16S ribosomal RNA". It matches the Rfam family "Bacterial small subunit ribosomal RNA", at positions 28 to 507 of the family's 1533-position model. The record is from RNAcentral.